This 461-nucleotide ribosomal RNA is filed under the name uncultured bacterium. RNAcentral's name for it is "SSU rRNA". It matches the Rfam family "Bacterial small subunit ribosomal RNA", at positions 26 to 518 of the family's 1533-position model. The record is from RNAcentral.
AGAAUCAACGCUGGCGGCGUGCCUAACACAUGCAAGUCGAACGAGAAAGUGGUAGCAAUACCAUGAGUAAAGUGGCGCACGGGUGAGUAACACGUGACUAACCUACCCUUGAGUGGGGGAUAACUGAGGGAAACCUUAGCUAAUACCGCAUAAUACCCACGGGUCAAAGGAACAAUUCGCUCGAGGAGGGGUCGCGGCCGAUUAGUUAGUUGGCGGGGUAAUGGCCCACCAAGACGAUGAUCGGUAUCCGGCCUGAGAGGGCGCACGGACACACUGGAACUGAAACACGGUCCAGACUCCUACGGGAGGCAGCAGUGGGGAAUUUUGCGCAAUGGGGGAAACCCUGACGCAGCAACGCCGCGUGGAGGAUGAAGUCCUUCGGGACGUAAACUCCUUUCGAUCGGGACGAUUAUGACGGUACCGGAUGAAGAAGCACCGGCUAACUCUGCGCCAGCAGCCGC